GACGGGCCUCCCCGCAUGGGAGCGCAGCCAAACGGGUCAGGUCGGGAACGGAGCAGCCCUAACUGUUAGUUCCCAGUGCCGGGGUCAAGGCUCGUCACC
This 99-nucleotide signal recognition particle RNA is filed under the name Sphaerotilus hippei. RNAcentral's name for it is "Bacterial small signal recognition particle RNA". It matches the Rfam family "Bacterial small signal recognition particle RNA". From Rfam's summary of the family: The signal recognition particle (SRP) is a universally conserved ribonucleoprotein involved in the co-translational targeting of proteins to membranes. Archaeal SRP consists of a 7S RNA and homologues of the eukaryotic SRP19 and SRP54 proteins. Lineage: Bacteria; Pseudomonadati; Pseudomonadota; Betaproteobacteria; Burkholderiales; Sphaerotilaceae. The record is from Rfam by way of RNAcentral.